GUGUCAGCAGCCGCGGUAAUACGUAGGGUGCAAGCGUUGUCCGGAAUUAUUGGGCGUAAAGAGCUCGUAGGCGGUUUGUCGCGUCUGCUGUGAAAAUCCGAGGCUCAACCUCGGACUUGCAGUGGGUACGGGCAGACUAGAGUGCAGUAGGGGAGAAGGGAAUUCCUGGUGUAGCGGUGGAAUGCGCAGAUAUCAGGAGGAACACCGAUGGCGAAGGCACUUCUCUGGGCUGUAACUGACGCUGAGGAGCGAAAGCGUGGGGAGCGAACAGGAUUAGAUACCCUGGUAGUCC
RNAcentral lists this ribosomal RNA (292 nucleotides) under uncultured Microbacteriaceae bacterium. RNAcentral's name for it is "partial 16S ribosomal RNA". It matches the Rfam family "Bacterial small subunit ribosomal RNA", at positions 505 to 796 of the family's 1533-position model. Lineage: Bacteria; Bacillati; Actinomycetota; Actinomycetes; Micrococcales; Microbacteriaceae. The record is from RNAcentral.